AUGGACAAUUUGGACAGAAAAACAAGAAAACUCAUGACCAUUCAUCAUUCACUGCACCCUCGCAGUGAUGUUGACCAUCUAUAUCUGCCUAGAAGAUCUGGUGGCAGAGGACUCUUACAAGUAAAACAAGCAGUCAAAGAAGGAGAACAUACCCUGGCAGAAUAUGUAAAGCAAAGUGAAGAACCUGCUUUGAUUGAAGUCAAAAAUCAGAAACUCCUCAAAGCACAACAGACAAAAAACCAGUACAAGAAAACUGCACUACAAACUAGAGCUGACAGCUGGCACAACAAAACAUUGCAUGGAAAGUUUCUUGACAAAAUUGAAGGAAAAGCUGACAAGGAGAACACCUGGCUAUGGCUCACGAAUGGGACCCUGAAGAAGGAGACAGAAGGCCUGAUCCUUGCAGCCCAGGAGCAAGCCAUCAGAACAAAUGCAAUUAAGACCAAGAUCGAAAAAUCAGCUGAUGACCCAAAAUGCAGACUGUGCAAGGAAGCUGACGAAACCAUUAAUCAUAUCCUCAGCUGUUGUAAGAAAAUCGCACAGACAGACUACAAACAGAGGCACAACUAUGUGGCCCAAAUGAUUCAUUGGAACUUAUGCCUCAAGUACCACCUCCCAGCAAUAAAGAACUGGUGGGAACAUAAACUUGCAAAGGUCGUGGAAAAUGAACACGCAAAGAUACUGUGGGACUUCCGAAUCCAGACUGACAAAGUUCUGGAACAGAACACACCAGACAUCACAGUUGUGGAAAAGAAAAAAGUUUGGAUCAUUGAUGUCGCCAUACCAGGUGACAGUCGCAUUGACGAAAAACAACAGGAAAAACUCAGUCGCUAUCAGGACCUCAAAAUUGAACUUCAAAGACUCUGGCAGAAACCAAUACAGGUAGUCCCAGUGGUGAUCGGCACACUGGGUUCCGUGCCAAAAGAUCUCAGCUGGCAUUUGGAAACAACAGAUAUUGACAAAAUCACGAUCUGCCAAUUUCAAAAGGCCACCCUACUGGGAUCUGCGCACAUCAUCCGAAAAUACAUCACACAGUCCUAA
RNAcentral lists this long non-coding RNA (1041 nucleotides) under Anolis carolinensis (green anole). RNAcentral's name for it is "lncRNA (ENSACAG00000036429.1)". Lineage: Eukaryota; Metazoa; Chordata; Lepidosauria; Squamata; Anolidae. The record is from RNAcentral.